AUUGAACGCUGGCGGCAGGCCUAACACAUGCAAGUCGAACGGUAACAGGAAGAAGCUUGCUUCUUUGCUGACGAGUGGCGGACGGGUGAGUAAUGUCUGGGAAACUGCCUGAUGGAGGGGGAUAACUACUGGAAACGGUAGCUAAUACCGCAUAACGUCGCAAGACCAAAGAGGGGGACCUUCGGGCCUCUUGCCAUCGGAUGUGCCCAGAUGGGAUUAGCUAGUAGGUGGGGUAACGGCUCACCUAGGCGACGAUCCCUAGCUGGUCUGAGAGGAUGAACAGCCACACUGGAACUGAGACACGGUCCAGACUCCUACGGGAGGCAGCAGUGGGGAAUAUUGCACAAUGGGCGCAAGCCUGAUGCAGCCAUGCCGCGUGUAUGAAGAAGGCCUUCGGGUUGUAAAGUACUUUCAGCGGGGAGGAAGGGAGUAAAGUUAAUACCUUUGCUCAUUGACGUUACCCGCAGAAGAAGCACCGGCUAACUCCGUG
This 490-nucleotide ribosomal RNA is filed under the name uncultured bacterium. RNAcentral's name for it is "partial 16S ribosomal RNA". It matches the Rfam family "Bacterial small subunit ribosomal RNA", at positions 30 to 507 of the family's 1533-position model. The record is from RNAcentral.